UGAGGAAUUUUGGACAAUGGGGGAAACCCUGAUCCAGCGACGCCGCGUGGAGGACGAAGGUCUUCGGAUUGUAAACUCCUUUUGUUCGGGAAUAAGAAAUCUGCAGAAAUGCGGAGAGUGAAUGUACCGGAUGAAUAAGCCACGGCUAACUUCGUGCCAGCAGCCGCGGUAAUACGAAGGUGGCAAGCGUUACUCGGAAUUACUAGGCGUAAAGGGCAGGUAGGUGGUUUGAUAAGUCUGUCGUGUCAAUUCUCGGCUUAACCGGGAGAGGUCGACAGAUACUGUUAGACUUGAGUGUAGGAGAGGGUACUGGAAUUCCCGGUGUAGCGGUGAAAUGCGCAGAGAUCGGGAGGAACACCAAUGGCGAAAGCAGGUACCUGGACUAUUACUGACACUAAGCUGCGAAAGCUAGGGGAGCAAACAGGAUUAGAUACCCAGGUAGUCCCUGAGCGGGCUGGCAAGGCGCAU
This 468-nucleotide ribosomal RNA is filed under the name uncultured bacterium. RNAcentral describes it as "bacterial SSU rRNA". It matches the Rfam family "Bacterial small subunit ribosomal RNA", at positions 355 to 825 of the family's 1533-position model. The record is from RNAcentral.